RNAcentral lists this ribosomal RNA (253 nucleotides) under uncultured bacterium. RNAcentral's name for it is "partial 16S ribosomal RNA". It matches the Rfam family "Bacterial small subunit ribosomal RNA", at positions 524 to 776 of the family's 1533-position model. The record is from RNAcentral.
UACGGGGGGGGCAAGCGUUGUUCGGAAUUACUGGGCGUAAAGGGCUCGUAGGCGGCCAACUAAGUCGGACGUGAAAUUCCCAGGCUCAACCUGGGAACUGCGUCUGAUACUGGAUGGCUUGAAUCCGGGAGAGGGAUGCAGAAUUCCAGGUGUAGCGGUGAAAUGCGUAGAUAUCUGGAGGAAUACCGGUGGCGAAGGCGGCAUCCUGGACCGACAUUGACGCUGAACGACGAAAGCUAGGGGAGCAAACGGG